GGGGCGGUAGCUCAGCUGGUAGAGCGACGCGUUCGCAAUGCGUAGGUCGGCGGUUCGAAUCCGCUCCGUUCCA
RNAcentral lists this transfer RNA (73 nucleotides) under Phycisphaera sp. It matches the Rfam family "tRNA". Rfam says of the family: Transfer RNA (tRNA) molecules are approximately 80 nucleotides in length. Their secondary structure includes four short double-helical elements and three loops (D, anti-codon, and T loops). Lineage: Bacteria; Pseudomonadati; Planctomycetota; Phycisphaerae; Phycisphaerales; Phycisphaeraceae. RNAcentral also lists the same sequence under 4 other names. The record is from Rfam by way of RNAcentral.